RNAcentral lists this ribosomal RNA (247 nucleotides) under uncultured bacterium. RNAcentral describes it as "partial 16S ribosomal RNA". It matches the Rfam family "Bacterial small subunit ribosomal RNA", at positions 109 to 353 of the family's 1533-position model. The record is from RNAcentral.
AGUAACGCGUGAGUAACCUGCCUUCAAGAGGGGGAUAACAUUCUGAAAAGAAUGCUAAUACCGCAUGACAUAUCGGAACCACAUGGUUUUGAUAUCAAAGAUUUUAUCGCUUGAAGAUGGACUCGCGUCCGAUUAGUUAGUUGGUGAGGUAACGGCUCACCAAGACCGCGAUCGGUAGCCGGACUGAGAGGGUGAUCGGCCACAUUGGGACUGAGACACGGCCCAAACUCCUACGGGAGGCAGCAUG